Molecule: unclassified non-coding RNA, 21 nt
Filed under: Chlamydomonas reinhardtii
Lineage: Eukaryota; Viridiplantae; Chlorophyta; Chlorophyceae; Chlamydomonadales; Chlamydomonadaceae
Description: small RNA Cre_4108
Source: RNAcentral
UUUCACUGCCGGCUGUCUGGC